UACCUGGUUGAUCCUGCCGAUAGCAUAUGCUUGUCUCAAAGAUUAAGCCAUGCAUGUCUAAG
This 62-nucleotide ribosomal RNA is filed under the name Rattus norvegicus (Norway rat). RNAcentral's name for it is "partial ribosomal RNA". It matches the Rfam family "Eukaryotic small subunit ribosomal RNA", at positions 1 to 63 of the family's 1831-position model. The record is from RNAcentral. Lineage: Eukaryota; Metazoa; Chordata; Mammalia; Rodentia; Muridae.